RNAcentral lists this ribosomal RNA (498 nucleotides) under Bacillus sp. BacB3. RNAcentral's name for it is "bacterial SSU rRNA". It matches the Rfam family "Bacterial small subunit ribosomal RNA", at positions 8 to 484 of the family's 1533-position model. The record is from RNAcentral. Lineage: Bacteria; Bacillati; Bacillota; Bacilli; Caryophanales; Bacillaceae.
AGAGUUUGAAUCCCCGGCUCAGGAUGAACGCUGGCGGCGUGCCUAAUACAUGCAAGUCGAGCGAAUGGAUUAAGAGCUUGCUCUUAUGAAGUUAGCGGCGGACGGGUGAGUAACACGUGGGUAACCUGCCCAUAAGACUGGGAUAACUCCGGGAAACCGGGGCUAAUACCGGAUAAUAUUUUGAACUGCAUGGUUCGAAAUUGAAAGGCGGCUUCGGCUGUCACUUAUGGAUGGACCCGCGUCGCAUUAGCUAGUUGGUGAGGUAACGGCUCACCAAGGCAACGAUGCGUAGCCGACCUGAGAGGGUGAUCGGCCACACUGGGACUGAGACACGGCCCAGACUCCUACGGGAGGCAGCAGUAGGGAAUCUUCCGCAAUGGACGAAAGUCUGACGGAGCAACGCCGCGUGAGUGAUGAAGGCUUUCGGGUCGUAAAACUCUGUUGUUAGGGAAGAACAAGUGCUAGUUGAAUAAGCUGGCACCUUGACGGUACCUAACC